UCCGCGUGACCUAAGUCCCAGUUAGUGCUGCUACCAGCAGCUUGCACCAUUAUCCCUUUGUUUCGCCGUCUUUAUUGCUUUUUCGCUCCUCUCAUCCGAACGGGCUGACUUCCUGAAGUCUGCUAACUCAAUACCGUGAAAGGGAUCCCUUACUGAGAACUUAAUAAUCCAAUUUUCAUUGUGCUUCGUCGUUUACACCUGCCACUAUCGUUAUUCGACACAUCUACGCGUGCCGUGCAAGAUUUCUCCUUCGUCGUCCGGUUUGUACAUGUAUAACUAUAAUCGGAUCUGCAUCCGCCAACGGAAAUUACCGCUUGCGGCAUCGUCCGGAAAUUCGCGAACGAACCUGUCUAAUAGUAAUAAGCGGUACGCUUGAUAAUCCUGCCAAGCGACCGUUUUACCGGAAGUUUCAGUAUAUUCAACUUAAGUUAGUGAAAGUUUUCGUUUAGGCAUAUACUGAUGUUUCUGUACGUUUCGAGUCUCGUAAAAUCGACGAUAAUCUGCAGUUGCAUAAAUUUCUGUCGUUGCAAUACUGCGGCGUUCCAGGGCGAAUUCAGAUGGAUCAGGAACGUGAUAAUCGAUGCAUAAAUCCUUCAAGUUGAGCAAAAUCGGAACGGCAAGCAGGAGAAUAUCGCGUGAAAAUAUUUACCUCACGAACGUUACACGUCGCUUUAACGUACUUUAAUACGCGUUUC
This is a long non-coding RNA of Camponotus floridanus (Florida carpenter ant), 695 nucleotides long. RefSeq lists it as uncharacterized. NCBI's taxonomy places the organism in Eukaryota, Metazoa, Arthropoda, Insecta, Hymenoptera, Formicidae. The record is from RefSeq and is a predicted model, not a curated record. The transcript is spliced from 3 exons.